CSGGSSGGYSKCUWAMMAUGCAGUCGAACGGGUUCUUCGGAACUAGUGGCGGACGGGUGAGUAACGCGUGAGAAUCUGCCUUCAGGAGGGGGAUAACGACUGGAAACGGUCGCUAAUACCCCAUAUGUCCUUGGAUGAAAAGAAUUUUGCCUGAAGAUGAGCUCGCGUCAGAUUAGCUAGUUGGUGAGGUAAYGGCUCACCAAGGCGACGAUCUGUAGCUGGUCUGAGAGGAUGAUCAGCCACACUGGGACUGAGACACGGCCCAGACUCCUACGGGAGGCAGCAGUGGGGAAUUUUCCGCAAUGGGCGAAAGCCUGACGGAGCAAGACCGCGUGAGGGAUGACGGCCUAAUGGUUGUAAACCUCUUUUCUCUGGGAAGAUGAUGACGGUACCAGAGGAAUCAGCCUCGGCUAACUCCGUGCCAGCAGCCGCGGUAAUACGGAGGAGGCAAGCGUUAUCCGGAAUUAUUGGGCGUAAAGCGUCCGUAGGUGGUUAGACAAGUCAGCUGUUAAAGCGUGGGGCUUAACUCCAUAAGGGCGGUUGAAACUGUUUAACUUGAGUGCGGUAGGGGUUACGGGAAUUCCCAGUGUAGCGGUGAAAUGCGUAGAUAUUGGGAAGAACACCGGUGGCGAAAGCGCGUAACUGGGCCUGCACUGACACUGAGGGACGAAAGCUAGGGGAGCGAAAGGGAUUAGAUACCCCUGUAGUCCUAGCUGUAAACGAUGGAUACUAGGCGUUGCUCGUAUAUCGACCCGAGCCGUGCCGAAARCAAAAAA
This 776-nucleotide ribosomal RNA is filed under the name Leptolyngbya sp. CWT3. Its description in RNAcentral is "bacterial SSU rRNA". The record is from RNAcentral. Lineage: Bacteria; Bacillati; Cyanobacteriota; Cyanophyceae; Leptolyngbyales; Leptolyngbyaceae.